RNAcentral lists this ribosomal RNA (409 nucleotides) under uncultured microorganism. RNAcentral's name for it is "bacterial SSU rRNA". It matches the Rfam family "Bacterial small subunit ribosomal RNA", at positions 9 to 413 of the family's 1533-position model. The record is from RNAcentral.
GAGUUUGAUCCUGGCUCAGAUUGAACGCUGGCGGCAUGCCUUACACAUGCAAGUCGAACGGCAGCAUGAUCUAGCUUGCUAGAUUGAUGGCGAGUGGCGAACGGGUGAGUAAUACAUCGGAACGUGCCCUGUAGUGGGGGAUAACUAGUCGAAAGAUUAGCUAAUACCGCAUACGACCUGAGGGUGAAAGUGGGGGACCGCAAGGCCUCAUGCUAUAGGAGCGGCCGAUGUCUGAUUAGCUAGUUGGUGGGGUAAAGGCCCGACCAAGGCGACGAUCAGUAGCUGGUCUGAGAGGACGAUCAGCCACACUGGGACUGAGACACGGCCCAGACUCCUACGGGAGGCAGCAGUGGGGAAUUUUGGACAAUGGGCGAAAGCCUGAUCCAGCAAUGCCGCGUGUGUGAGAAGG